Molecule: long non-coding RNA, 250 nt
Filed under: Ananas comosus (pineapple)
Lineage: Eukaryota; Viridiplantae; Streptophyta; Magnoliopsida; Poales; Bromeliaceae
Description: long non-coding RNA (ACOM_LNC028093)
Source: RNAcentral
CGAAUGAGUCUUCGUCCUCCAAUUUGAAUCUCUUCUCAAAAACUUCUGCGAUCAACUCUUCAAGACUCCAAACAACUUUACGAAAUUCGCCAACCUACAAAAUCCUUAACAACAUGCAUUCACAAUAAUACAUUUACUUUACAUCCAACUCCCAAAUGCAAUUAAGUUAUUACAUCAUUUGCUUAUUACAAAUUGAUACAUUGUAUUCUUUUUAUUUUCCAAACCCCUAGGCUAUGUCGACGAGGUAUUG